Molecule: long non-coding RNA, 7632 nt
Filed under: Manihot esculenta (cassava)
Lineage: Eukaryota; Viridiplantae; Streptophyta; Magnoliopsida; Malpighiales; Euphorbiaceae
Description: long non-coding RNA (MESC_LNC003092)
Source: RNAcentral
GUAGCUCGCACAUCAGCGCUGGAAACAUUGUUGCCAAAGAUCCGAACCACAGCGAUGGCCUCAUAAGCUAGCUUUGCAUGUACUUUUCCAGUUAUAUCCUGCUCGAUUCCGUUCCAGCUCUGGGUACGCUCAGUUGCACAUGCAAAAACUUUUCCAAACAGGGGGACAAUUUUCCCACAAGCCAAUGAUUCAUGUAAGACAAGCUUGCAGCCUCUUCCAGACCACUUGUUCAGGCCAUCCUCAAAUUUAGGAUUUGCCAUGAUGUUCCCUUCUCCAUAUCCAGUGUCCACAAAUUGAUAAUGACUUGUUUCCUUUUGAUAACUUGUUUUCUCUUGAUAGCUUGUUUCCUUUUGAUAGCUUGUUUCCUUUCCAUAUCAAAAUGAAGAGAAUUUCACAAAUUAAUCAUCACAAAAAGUAUAAAUAAAAUUAAUAAAUAGAUUUAAGAAGAAAAAUUACGUAGAAUUCACUUGGUGGGGAGCUGGAAAUAACUACUGAUUGUAUAAGCAAGUCCACUGCAGCAGAAGGGCCUUCCAAGUAAAAAACGGCACGAUCAGGCUUCUUUGGCAGGGAGAAUUUUCCUUCCAACUUUUCCCACCUUUCCUUUGACAGAGAAAUUCUGCAGGGAUAUAUAACUUACAUUAAGACUAUCUGUAUGUUUCAUUUAAGGAAGAAACGCAAUAAAGUGAAGCAGCAAAUCUAUUACCUUCCAAUGAACAAAUAGUCUGUUGGGGAAUUUCGAUAUUCCACUCUCAAAGUAGCUUGUACAUCAGUGGUUCCCUGAAUAUGUCCUGAUACACCAACAUAUGCAGUAACAUAAUAAGUGGAACCUGGAGAAACAAUGCUUGUGAUAUCUUGCUCCAAGCCCUGCCAACUUUCUGUUCGAUUUGAGACAACUGCAUAAUAACCACCUCGCUUUGUUAAGAAUGCUGGGUGACCUGACUCUGCUGAAACCACAGAGAAACUGCAGCCAUUUGCGUGCCAAGAAUGCUGUCCUUGAGAGAAGUCAUGGUUCGUUAUGACAUUGAUGGUGGUGUUGCCACUUGAACCAGAUAUGCCUUGGUCCAUUAUGGUCUUGAUAGCAGUGUCACCAUAUGAACCAACAGUGCUCUGGUCCAUUGUGAUAUUGAUGGCACCGCUGCUACUUCUACAAGACAUGCCAUGGUCCCUUCUGAUAUUGGCGAUAUCGCUGCUACUUGAACUAACUUUGCCCUGAUCCAUUAUAUUAAAGUUUGAGCAACUUUGAAAUAUCUAUGUAAAAACAUGUAAAGAUUAUUCAAUAGAACAUUCAUAAUAAUAAUAUAACAACAGCAACAUUACAACAAUUGAGGUUUUCGCACUAAAUUUUAAUGGAGAAAAAAUUGCCGCUGCAUUAAAAUUUAGGCUAAUUUAUUUAAAAAGACCCAAUAUUUAUAUGUAUUUACAUUUUAAUUUAAUUCUUUCAAUUUUAGUUUAAUUAACUCAACCUUUAUAUUUUAGUAUAAUUUUAGCCUAUUUACAAAAUUUUAAAUUUAAUAGUCUAACUGGUAUCAAGUAUGUGUAUAUUAUUAUUAUUUAAUUGGUUAAUUAAUUAAAAAAGGCCAAAUAUUUAUUAUUUUAUAUUUUAAUUCAAACGUUUAAAUUUUAAAUAAAUGGAUUUAAUAUUUAUGUUUGAUUAUAAUUUUGAUUAAUUUUUAAAAUUAAAAUUAAAAAUAAAUAAUUUAAUUAUUAAAUAUGUAGUUCACAAUUUUAACUGAUAAAUUUUAUUUUACCGUAAUAAUUAUAAAUAUUUUAUAAUAAAUAUAUUAUUUAAUUCAAAAUUGUAGUAUAUAUAAAAUAAUUAAAAAUAAUAUAUUUAUUAUAAAAUUUUUAUAAUUAUUAAUACAAAAUAAAAUUUAUCUACUGUUAAAUGUUGAUAGCAUAUUAAAUAGUUAGAUUAUUAUUAUUUUUAAAAUUAAAUAUAUCAUUUAAAAUUACACUCUAGCAUUGCUCAAUUCAUCCAAAAUUUAAAUAUUUGAAUUAAAACGUAAAAUGAUGUAAACAAUAAAUUUUUAUAGUAAUUUGAUUAUUAGUUUAUAAUUAAAUAGUAAUAAUACACAUAACAUACUAAUUAAACUAUCAAAUUUAAAAAUUUACAUAUUAAUUAAAAUUGCAUCAAAACAUAAAGGUUAGAUUAAUUAAAUUAAAAUUAAAAAAAUUAAAUUAAAAUGUAAAUAUAUAUAAACUUUGAGUCUUUUUAAGUCAAUUGAUCUAAAAUUUAUUGUAAAAUACUAAAAUUUUACCACUAAGACUCCAUUUGUUUGGAGAAAAUAACUUGUAAUUGGAAAAUAUUUUUAAUUUAUAAAAAAAAUAAAAUAUAUUAACAAUUUAUAUAUAAGAUCUUAAUAAGAUUCUUAAAAUAGGAAAAAUGACUUACUUUUUUAAAAAAUCAAAAUUUAUUUUUAAAAUAAUUUAUUUUUUUUGGUAAAAAAAUAUUUUUUAUUGACUAAAUUUUUUAAAUACCUUAUCUAUUAAAAAAAUAUUUUUCUAAAACAUAUUUUUCAGUGAAAUAAAAGAAGAGUAAUUAUAAAAAAUCAUUAUUAAAACUUUUAACGUUAUAUUUUUUGUAGUGAUUUAAUGACUGAACUUGAAUUUUAUCUCUCAAUACUCUAGGGGUGAAUUUUACACAUUUAAUAAUAAUUUUUAUUUUUAUAAAAAGUUAAUUUCUUGUAAUCUAACAAUAAAAAAAUAUAAACAAAAAGUUUAACAUUAAAAUUGGAGGAAAAAUUUUUCUAUAUAAAGUUUAUAUAGACCAAUUCAUAUGAAACUAUAUAAAUUUAACACUAUAAAUCUAUAAGAUCUGAUCUAGAGAUAAGAAUUAUCGGUAAAUUUAGUUUAACUAACCUCAAUUGUUGGACGAGAGGAGGGAGGUACUUUCUCAGCAUGCUUUAGAAAAAAGCCGUUCACAAGAAUAUCAGUGCCUGCAGGUGGACCUUCUAUGAAAAUCACUACCUUUGUAGGGUAAUCAUUUAGAUGGAAUUUUCCCUUUAACUGUAUCCACUCUUUAUCUGUUGUCUGCAUACUACAGUUUCAAAAAGAUAAUCAUGAAAAUAAAUCAAGAAAAUGGUAAAAAAAAUCUAAAUAAUUUGAUUUGGUUAAUGAAAAUGAUGGAGAUAAUAUAACUAAAUAAAUCUUAAAACCUGGCGUUAUAAUCUAUAUCGAUAUUAAAUAUAAUAAAGUUUAACUCUAAAAUUAAGUUUUUCUAAAAGUAAAUGGGAAAGUAUAAUUUAAAAUCUCUCAAAUUUAUUCAGAUGCAUUUAUAAUCAGGCUAAAUCUGUGAGUGUAUAAGUCUUUUUAUUAUAUUUUUUAUAUUAGUUAAUUUUUCUCUUAUUUUAUUAUUACUUCCUCUCUACUAAAAGAAGAAAUGCCUUUAAAUUUUUAAAAAAUAUGAUAAAAAUAACUUUAAGUAUUCUAUUUGAGUUACUCAAGUAAAUAAUGGCUAAAGUAAGUGUCUAGAUGAUAAAUAAAGCCAUCUGACUCAGAGGGUUGAAUUAAGAAAAUGAUGUUUGCAGAAAUUGAAGGUGAUAAAAGAAUAUUAUAUAUGGAGAUAAUUAGAGGGAAAAAGAGCUAACUUGGCAAUGCCUAUGUAUUCUUCUUGGAGAUCUGUUGUUUGGACGCAUAAAGUAACUCGCACAUCAGCACUGCUAACAUUGUUGCCAAAGAUACGAACCACAGCAAUGGCCUCAUAAGCUUGCUUUGCCUGUACUUUUCCAGUUAUCUCCUGCUCGAUUCCGUUCCAGCUCUGGGUACGCUCAGUUGCACAUGCAAAAACUUUUCCAAACAGGGGGACAAUUUUCCCACAAGCCAAUGAUUCAUGUAAGACAAGCUUGCAGCCUCUUCCAGACCACUUGUUCAGGCCAUCCUCAAAUUUAGGAUUUGCCAUGAUGUUCCCUUUUCCAUAUCCAGUGUCCACAAAUUGAUAAUUACUUGUUUCCUUUUGAUAACUUGUUUUCUCUUGAUAGCUUGUUUCCUUUUGAUAGCUUGUUUCCUUUCCAUAUCAAAAUGAAGAAAAUUUUACAAAUUUAUCAUCACAAAAAUGUAUAAAUAAAAUUAAUAAAUAGGUUUAAGAAGAAAAAUUACAUGGAAUUCACUUGGAGGGGAACUGGUAAUAACGACUGAUUGUACAAGCAAGUCCACUGCAGGAGAAGGGCCUUCCAAGUAAAAAAGGACACGAUCAGGCUUCUUUGGCAGGGAGAAUUUUCCUUCCAACUUUUCCCACCUUUCCUUUGACAGAGAAAUUCUGCAGGGAUAUAUAACUUACAUUAAGACAAUCUGUAUGUUUCAUUUAAGGAAGAAAUGCAAUAAAAUGAAGCAACAAAUCUAUUACCUUCCAAUGAACAAAUAGUCUGUUGGGGAAUUUCGAUAUUCCACUCUCAAAGUAGCUUGCACAUCAGUGGUUCCUUGAAUAUUUCCUGAUACACCAACAUAUGCAGUAACAUAAUAAGUGGAACCUGGAGAAACAAUGCUUGUGAUAUCUUGCUCCAAGCCCUGCCAACUUUCUGUUCGAUUCGAGACAACUGCAUAAUAACCACCUCGCUUUGUUAAGAAUGCUUUGUGACCUGACUCUGCUGAAACCACAGAGAAACUGCAGCCAUUUGCGUGCCAAGAAUGCUGUCCUUGAGAGAAGUCAUGGUUCGUUAUGACAUUGAUGGUAGUGUUGCCACUUGAACCAGAUAUGCCCUGGUCCAUUAUGGUCUUGAUGACAGUGUCACCUCUUGAACCAGCCAUCCCAUGGUCCGAUGUGAUAUUGAUGGUUUCGCUGCUACAGGAAGUAGCUAUGCCCUGGUCCACUGUGGUCUUGAUGGUUCCCCUGCUACUUGAACUAGCUAUGCCCUGGUCCAUUAUAUUGAAGUUUGAAAUAUAUAUGUAAAAACACGUAAAGAUUCUCCCAUAGAACAUUCAUAACGAUAGAAUGAACAAACUGUUUUGCUCUGGGUCUAUAUUGACCCAUAAUGUAAAACAGCAAUGGGAUCUACAUAAAAUUUCAUAAAUUUAUACUACAGAUACAUGUACACACGAUGUAGAGAAGAAUUGUCCAUAAAGUUAGUUCAAUUAACCUGAAUUGUUGGAUGAGGGGAAGAAGAUACUUUCUCAGCAUGCUUUAGAAAAAAGCCAUUGACAAGAAUAUCAAUGCCUGCAGGUGGACCUUCUAUAAAAAUCACUAGCUUUUUAGGAUAAUUAUUUAGAAGGAGCUUCCCCUUCAACUGUACCCACUCCUUAUCUGUUACCUGCAUACUAUAGACCCAAAACGACAAUCAUCGUCAAAUCAAUUCAAGAAUAUGGUAAAAUAAAAUUUAAAUAAUUUAAUUUAAUUAAUGAAAAUAAUAAAAAUGAUAUAACCGAAUAAAUACUAUAAAAUUAAUUCUAAAACAUAUUUUUCUAAAAGCGAUAAGUGUCUUUCUAUUAGAUUUUUUUUCCUAAUCUAUUUCGCCCAUAUCUUAUUAAUUACUUAAUAAAUAGCUCUUUAUAUUUUUUUUUGAAAUAACGUGACUUUUCAUUUUAAUAAUAAUAAUAAUAAUAAAUAUGCAUAUAUUAAAUAAAAUUUAUUAGUAUUAUUAUUAUUAUUCCUGAUUGAUAUAUGACCUUCUAGUUUCUCAGUAUUAAACAUAAAAAAUUUAUAUACAAUUAAAAUAUAUGCGUGCGUGAUCAGAGAGAAAAUUUGAAAAAAAAAAUCUUAAAUUUGAAAUUAGUAAGUAAAAAUAAUUAAAAACAUAUAAUAAUGGAUCAAUUAAUCAUAAUUUUAAAUGCAUAUUAUAGUUAUCUUUUAACUAUUUUUUACCCAACUUUUGAUAUUUUUUAUGUUGAGGCAUUACUCUUAGGUGUUGAUAACUAAUAUUUACGUGAAUAUGAUUAUAAAAUAUCUAAUUAAAUUUAAAUAUAUAUAAAUCUUAUAAUAAUAAAGUCAACAUAAAAAUGAUUUAUAAUAAUAAUAUAAAGAAGUAAGAUGACAAGUAAAAUGAAGUCUGGUCCAAACAGUCCGGACUCUUUCUCUUAAAUUCUCUAUAAAUUGAGAGGCUCUACUCAAUAGAGAAACUUAGAAGAUCAAGUUGAAAUUAUAAAAAUUAUGAAACCGUACGGGUCAAACUGAUUUAAAUAAUUUUUAAAUUUAUUUUUUAUUUAAUAAAAAAUAAUUAAUAUUUUUAAAUUUAUUUUUUAUUUGAUUUAAAAUAGUUAACCCAAAUUAUUUAGUAGUUUUCAACUUGACCUAAAAUAGUUAAUCCGAAUUAUUUAGUAGUUUCAUAUUAACUAUUAUAUAUAAUUUCAAUUUAUUGUAGCAAGCAUCUCCCCCACUAAAUUUUAUGAUAUUCUCGUCGCACCCAUUUUCUACUUAACUCAAAACAAUUAACUCAAGUUAUUUAAUAGUUUCGUGCUAAUUAUUAUAUACAAUUUCAAUUUAUUGUAUUCUGCUGACGUAGGACGUUUCACAUCAAGUUCAAGCUGAGUUUCACACUCUCUUCCGUUAAAUUUGCGAUGUUCUAGUCGCUAUUAAAUUAGUUGCUAAAUCAGGACCAGACCCUCGGAUAUUAUGGUUUGUUAGUAUUUCGAAUGGUUUCAUCUUGUGUCACAUGAAUAGCCAUUUCCUUACAGAUUCACUAAUUCUGCACAAUUUUUUUUAUUUAGGAUGGACUCUGAUACCAAUUGAAACAGUUCGAUCUAAAUAAUUUUUGGACCCACUUCUUACUUGAUUCAAAAUAAUUAAUUCAAAUUAUUUAGUAGUUUUAUACUAACUAUUAUAUAUAAUUUUUAUUUUAUCGUAUUCUCCCGACGUGGAACGUUAGAUGUAAGCAAGCCCCUGACUUUCACAAACCAUGCUAAAAUUACAAAUUAUCCAUUUUACAGAAUUUUCACUCAAAUUUUAAAACUAUCAAAUUAUUUUUUUCCGAAUGUAAAAGGCUUUUCUUUAUCAAUUUAAGAAUAAAUUUUUUAAAUUCUUAAUCUCAUAAAUAAAAAAGAAAUUAAAAUAUCGAGUUUUUUUAUUUCAAAUAAUUUAUUGUUGAAAAUCCAACCCAUUUUUUUUAAAUUGAUAUUUAUUAACUGCUUUUUUAUUUUUUUAUUUCAGUUAUGAAAUUUACGUGCACACUAUUACUUUCUUUCACCUUGUUCCAAAUACAUUAAUAGUUAUUUCAACUAAAUAAAGCCUAAAAAUAUUUACCUGAUGUGGGUAAGUGUCUAGUUUAAAAAUCCAUGUGAAUAAAAGAUUGAAUUAAGAAAAUGCUGUUUGCAGAGAUUGAAGGUGAUAAAAGAAUAUUAUAUAUAGAGAUUAUUAGAGGGAAAAAGAGCUAACUUGGCAAUGCCUAUGUAUUCUUCUCGGAGAUCUGUGGUUUGGACGCAUAAAGUAACUCGCACCUCAGCACUGCCAACAUUGUUGCCAAAGAUACGAACCACAGCAAUGGCCUCAUAAGCUUGCUUUGCCUGCACUUUUCCAGUUAUCUCCUGCUCGAUUCCGUUCCAGCUCUGGGUACGCUCAGUUGCACAUGCAAAAACUUUUCCAAACAGGGGGACAAUUUUCCCACAAGCCAUUGAUUCAUGUAAGACAAGCUUACAGCCUCUUCCAGACCACUUGUUCAGGCCAUCCUCAAAUUUAGGAUUUGCCAUGAUGUUCCCUUCUCCAUAUCC